GGCGGGUGGGGGAGCGUGGGGCCGCGGUAAACAAACAGGAGAAGCUUCGGCGGGGGCCGAGAUGUAGUAUAAACGUUAAUGGAUGUCCAGGGCGCGCCGAUGCACCGGCGGCUGGCCAGAGGUACUAGGGAGGCGCUGGCAGGAGCCCUGGCGAAGAUGCACCUUCCCCAGCCUGGAAAGAUCAGCACCUGUGGUCACUGGAAGCCCACCUUUGAGAGUGGUGACUAAUAAUACUGGGGAGUGAGUGGUAACUUCCAGCUGCCAUCCAAAUUUCCCAACUUAAAUCCAGGCCCAAACUCAGCCUCUGGGACCUUUGAAAAGAAUGCUGCCAACACCUAACACCUACCGUUUAAUCUUUAACACUUAGUGUUAAGUUUGAACCCAGAAUGAAAUGAAACAAAUCUUCACGCAAAAUCGAGUACUGCUGAUGGAAAGUGAGCUGGAGGGAAGUUAGCGCUUAUCUCCCGCGUCUCCUCAACUGAAUGUGCAGGACCGGGGCCGGGCUUGGGGUGAUAUACCUGGAAAGAGCUGUGGAUCCUACUGAUGUCUUCUGGUGGAUUUGUUCGGCCGUGGGAACAUGGGCACCCGGGAGUGGAGUGAGACUUGGCGAAAGGGAGACUGGAUGCUGGAGAAUGUAGAGGUUGGUUCUGUAGGAGGAAAAAGGGGAAUGUCUCCUUGAGGCCCUGUGUUUGUCAACAACAACGAUGAUGAGUGCCCACUAAGUGCCAUGCCCUGGGCCAAGCACUAUAUGUCCCUUAAUUCUGUUUCUCGCUUUGCCUCUCUUUUCACAAUCUUAAGAACACCCUUCUCUGGAAAAAAUUUAAUAUAUGUGAAGAACUUAGAACAAGGCUUGCAGAAAAAUAAUGGCUGUAUGUGUGUUCUUUAUUUUAUUAUUAUAUUUUUACUCUGGAAUAGGCUGCAAUCCUCCACAUAAGAAGAGGUUUUCCCAGGUUCGCUAGAGUAAGUCCUAAACUUGCUUCUAAAUAACACCUCCGCCCUCUGGAGCAGAGCCGCAGAGAGGCCUCUUUGCUUGGGUACCCUGUUUCCACACAGUGGCUCCCAUUUCCUGUCUUCCUGUGUCUAACCACUCUUACCCCAUAAAUAUUCCUUCUCAUACUUUCA
RNAcentral lists this long non-coding RNA (1122 nucleotides) under Equus caballus (horse). RNAcentral's name for it is "lncRNA (ENSECAG00000045623.1)". The record is from RNAcentral. Lineage: Eukaryota; Metazoa; Chordata; Mammalia; Perissodactyla; Equidae.